GACGAACGCUGGCGGCGUGCCUAAUACAUGCAAGUCGAACGCUUCUUUCCUCCCGAGUGCUUGCACUCAAUUGGAAAGAGGAGUGGCGGACGGGUGAGUAACACGUGGGUAACCUACCCAUCAGAGGGGGAUAACACUUGGAAACAGGUGCUAAUACCGCAUAACAGUUUAUGCCGCAUGGCAUAAGAGUGAAAGGCGCUUUCGGGUGUCGCUGAUGGAUGGACCCGCGGUGCAUUAGCUAGUUGGUGAGGUAACGGCUUACCAAGGCCACGAUGCAUAGCCGACCUGAGAGGGUGAUCGGCCACACUGGGACUGAGACACGGCCCAGACUCCUACGGGAGGCAGCAGUAGGGAAUCUUCGGCAAUGGACGAAAGUCUGACCGAGCAACGCCGCGUGAGUGAAGAAGGUUUUCGGAUCGUAAAACUCUGUUGUUAGAGAAGAACAAGGACGUUAGUAACUGAACGUCCCCUGACGGUAUCUAACCAGAAAGCCACGGCUAACUACGUG
RNAcentral lists this ribosomal RNA (508 nucleotides) under uncultured bacterium. Its description in RNAcentral is "partial 16S ribosomal RNA". It matches the Rfam family "Bacterial small subunit ribosomal RNA", at positions 28 to 507 of the family's 1533-position model. The record is from RNAcentral.